CUACACUAGGGCCAUUAAUUCUCACAUCCGUUUUUACGAUAUACCUAGGUAGCAAUUUAGUUUAUUUGACUGCGCGCAAUGUCUGCUCGCAUCGGCGUCACCUUUAGCUCCCCAAAACCGACAAAGUGGUUAUACAAGGAGACUUCCGUUCAGUAUACCCAAGUUAAUACUUGAUGGCUUAACUUUGCAGAAAAUUAUGUUACACAUAUUAUAUAUAAACUCGUGUUUAACUCUGGUGUACACACCUGCUUUUAAUGCCAUUCACCC
This is a non-coding RNA of Cinara cedri, 267 nucleotides long. NCBI's taxonomy places the organism in Eukaryota, Metazoa, Arthropoda, Insecta, Hemiptera, Aphididae. The record is from the annotation of a GenBank genome assembly.